RNAcentral lists this ribosomal RNA (253 nucleotides) under uncultured bacterium. RNAcentral describes it as "partial 16S ribosomal RNA". It matches the Rfam family "Bacterial small subunit ribosomal RNA", at positions 524 to 776 of the family's 1533-position model. The record is from RNAcentral.
GACAGAGGGUGCAAGCGUUGUUCGGAUUUACUGGGCGUAAAGCGCGUGUAGGCGGCUUGGCAAGUCGGAUGUGAAAGCCCACGGCUCAACCGUGGAAGCGCACCCGAAACGGCCUCGCUCGAGUCUCGGAGAGGAAGGUGGAAUGCUUGGUGUAGAGGUGAAAUUCGUAGAUAUCAAGCAGAACACCUGCGGCGAAGGCGGCCUUCUGGACGAUGACUGACGCUGAGACGCGAAAGCGUGGGGAGCAAACAGG